This 66-nucleotide transfer RNA is filed under the name Dipodomys ordii (Ord's kangaroo rat). It matches the Rfam family "tRNA". Rfam says of the family: Transfer RNA (tRNA) molecules are approximately 80 nucleotides in length. The record is from Rfam by way of RNAcentral. Lineage: Eukaryota; Metazoa; Chordata; Mammalia; Rodentia; Heteromyidae.
AAUAUGGCUCAGUGGUAGAGUGCUCGCCUAGCAUGCAUGAAGCCCUGAGUUCAAUUCCUCAGUAUU